RNAcentral lists this ribosomal RNA (537 nucleotides) under uncultured bacterium. RNAcentral describes it as "bacterial SSU rRNA". It matches the Rfam family "Bacterial small subunit ribosomal RNA", at positions 94 to 627 of the family's 1533-position model. The record is from RNAcentral.
AGCGGCGGACGGGUGAGUAAUGUCUGGGAAACUGCCUGAUGGAGGGGGAUAACUACUGGAAACGGUAGCUAAUACCGCAUAACGUCGCAAGACCAAAGAGGGGGACCUUCGGGCCUCUUGCCAUCAGAUGUGCCCAGAUGGGAUUAGCUAGUAGGUGGGGUAACGGCUCACCUAGGCGACGAUCCCUAGCUGGUCUGAGAGGAUGACCAGCCACACUGGAACUGAGACACGGUCCAGACUCCUACGGGAGGCAGCAGUGGGGAAUAUUGCACAAUGGGCGCAAGCCUGAUGCAGCCAUGCCGCGUGUAUGAAGAAGGCCUUCGGGUUGUAAAGUACUUUCAGCGGGGAGGAAGGCGAUGAGGUUAAUAACCUCGUCGAUUGACGUUACCCGCAGAAGAAGCACCGGCUAACUCCGUGCCAGCAGCCGCGGUAAUACGGAGGGUGCAAGCGUUAAUCGGAAUUACUGGGCGUAAAGCGCACGCAGGCGGUCUGUCAAGUCGGAUGUGAAAUCCCCGGGCUCAACCUGGGAACUGCAUU